RNAcentral lists this ribosomal RNA (225 nucleotides) under uncultured soil bacterium. Its description in RNAcentral is "partial 16S ribosomal RNA". It matches the Rfam family "Bacterial small subunit ribosomal RNA", at positions 26 to 252 of the family's 1533-position model. The record is from RNAcentral.
AGAUUGAACGCUGGCGGCAUGCCUUACACAUGCAAGUCGAACGGCAGCACGGGAGCAAUCCUGGUGGCGAGUGGCGAACGGGUGAGUAAUACAUCGGAACGUGCCCAGUUGUGGGGGAUAGCCCGGCGAAAGCCGGAUUAAUACCGCAUACGACCUACGGGUGAAAGCCGGGGGAUCGCAAGACCUCGCGCUAUUGGAGCGGCCGAUGUCGGAUUAGCUUGUUGG